CCCUUAGAUGUCCUGGGCCGCACGCGUGCUACACUGACGCAUACAGCGAGUACUUCCCCGGCUCCGUGAGGCAGCCGGUAAUCAGCAAUAUGCGUCGUGAUGGGGAUAGAUCUUUGGAAUUCUGGAUCUUGAACGAGGAAUUCCUAGUAAACGCAAGUCAUCAGCUUGCAUUGAUUACGUCCCUGCCCUUUGUACACACCGCCCGUCGCACCUACCGAUUGAAUGACUCGGUGAAAAAUUGGGACUGUGAUUGAAAUUGCUUCAUUGCGAAUUUAAUCAUGGAAACUUUCUUUAACCUAGGCAUUUAGAGGAAGGUGAAGUCGUAACA
Molecule: ribosomal RNA, 328 nt
Filed under: uncultured eukaryote
Lineage: Eukaryota
Description: partial 18S ribosomal RNA
Rfam family: Eukaryotic small subunit ribosomal RNA
Source: RNAcentral